UCCUCCUCCUCGGCCCCAAACCCCCCUUGCUCUCCUCGUCUCCAUCCCCACCGUGCUCCCUGCGGGAUCAGGGCUCAGGGAGGCAUCGUAGGAGGUAUAGGUGGCUGCAUUAAGAUCCACAAACCAAACGGCGUCCAACGAGUGAAGAGGUCUGAGCCUCCCGUGGCUGAGCAGGUGCAGCUUCUGCAGGAGUGAUGUCCGGCCGCCCCUCUGGACGCCCUGGCCUGGACCUGGAGGUGCCACCGAGCUCGUGAGCCCCUCCAGCGGCACGAGGAGAUGAUCAGCCCUGGAUAACGGCCCUGGUCCCCUGGGAGCCCUGGGAAUUGCCCUGCAAUGAUCAAUAAACCCCUUCAGCAAAGCA
This is a non-coding RNA of Cyanistes caeruleus (blue tit), 361 nucleotides long. Lineage: Eukaryota; Metazoa; Chordata; Aves; Passeriformes; Paridae. The record is from RefSeq and is a predicted model, not a curated record.